This is an RNA transcript of Equus caballus (horse), 1492 nucleotides long. It is a transcript of the gene named quinone oxidoreductase-like protein 2, with no coding region annotated. NCBI's taxonomy places the organism in Eukaryota, Metazoa, Chordata, Mammalia, Perissodactyla, Equidae. The record is from RefSeq and is a predicted model, not a curated record.
GCGGACGCUCUUCCGCUCCCCGGGCUCUGCCGGGGCGGGGCGGGGGCGGGCGCGCUCUUCCUGCCGCGCUCGGACCGCUGCCUGCUGCGACGCCGAGCGUGGGGCCAUGGCGGCGCUGGUUUGGGGACGGGGCUUCUCUCGGGCCUGGCUCCGCAGGAGCGCCGGGCCGGGCUGCGGCCGACACUACCGCGCCGCGGUUUGCACCGAGUUGAAGCAGCCCCUGGCCAUUGAGGAGGUCACCCCCCGCCCCGUCCGACCUCACGAGGUCAGAGUUGAUGUCCAUUUCUGUGGAGUUAAUUUUGCUGAUAUUUUAGUCUGCCGUGGUCAGUAUCAGGAAAGGCCCCAUCUUCCCUUCACACCUGGAAUGGAGUUUUCUGGGACAGUAUUGGAGACAGGCACAGAUGUCUGCACAGUGAAACAGGGAGAUCGAGUCAUUGGCGUGAGUGGCUUGAAUGGGAUGGCUGAAGAAUGCGUCAUUGACCAGAAGAGACUGUGGCAGAUUCCAGAAAGCAUCCCCCUCCGAGAAGCUGCUGCCUUGCCUGCAUCUUAUGGCACUGCUAUUUUGGCCCUGGAGCGUCGGGCCUGUACCCAGCCUGGGGAAACGGUUUUAGUGACAGCAGCAGCUGGAGCCACAGGCCUUGCUGUGAUAGAUGUGGCAACAAAUGUUCUUCAGGCCAAGGUAAUAGCUGCAGCCGGAAGUGACGAGAAGUGCAAGCUGGCGAUGCAGAGGGGUGCACAGUCCAGCGUGAACUACAGUCAGGGCAGCCUGAAGGAGGCAGUGAAGAAGCUGGUGGGCAGUGGUGGGGUGAAUGUGGUCAUUGACACCGUGGGAGGAGAUGUCUUCCUGGAGGCUCUCCACAGCCUGGCAUGGGAGGGCAGGAUUGUGGUGGUGGGUUUUGCUGGAGGAACCAUCGCUUCUGUGCCAGCCAACCUCUUGCUCCUGAAGAAUGUGUCUGCCAUGGGGGUGAUCUGGGGCCGAUACAAAGAUCAGAACUUUCCUCUCUUCUCUGGAAGCAUUUCCUCGGCUCUUCAGUACUGCCAGCAAGGGCGCAUCCAGCCAUACAUUGGAGCGGUUUUUAAGCUGGAGGAGGUUGUAUAUCUUUAGAGACAAAUUUAAUAAUGGCUUCAUCCACUGCGAGGCAGAGAACCAGGGUUCUGGGAACAGCCUGUGUGUCUGUCCAGGCAUCAGGAUGGAGAAGCCUCCCUGUCUCUGAUGCAGCCUGUCCAAUCCAGGAGGACGAUGUCCCAGGCAUCUGAAUGAGCUAUCAAAGACGCUGGCCUAAAGUGGUGAAUGAUGCCUUCCUUCAUGUGAUGCAGCGCAAAUCCACGGGCAAGGUGCUUCUCUCUCUCAAAUAAAGACUCACCCCAGCAGCAAACUCAGCGUGUCUGAAUCCAAACCCAUCAUCUUUCCAAAAAACCUGAUUUGCCUCCUGUGUUUCUAAAGGUGUUACCACCUUCCUUAUUAAUCCAGAUUAAAAAUCUUUUAGAGUCA